Molecule: ribosomal RNA, 253 nt
Filed under: uncultured bacterium
Lineage: Bacteria
Description: partial 16S ribosomal RNA
Rfam family: Bacterial small subunit ribosomal RNA
Source: RNAcentral
UACGUAGGGUGCAAGCGUUGUCCGGAAUUAUUGGGCGUAAAGAGCGUGUAGGCGGCCCGAUUAGUCCGCUGUGAAAGUCCAGGGCUCAACCCUGGAAUGCCGGUGGAUACUGUCGGGCUAGAGUCCGGAAGGGGCGAGUGGAAUUCCUGGUGUAGCGGUGAAAUGCGUAGAUAUCAGGAGGAAUACCGGUGGCGAAAGCGACUCUCUGGACGGCAACUGACGCUGAGGCACGAAAGCGUGGGGAGCAAACAGG